CUUGUUCCUCCCGUGCUUCUGUUAGC
This 26-nucleotide unclassified non-coding RNA is filed under the name Mus musculus (house mouse). Its description in RNAcentral is "oocyte_clustered_small_RNA2518". The record is from RNAcentral. Lineage: Eukaryota; Metazoa; Chordata; Mammalia; Rodentia; Muridae.